This 55-nucleotide transfer RNA is filed under the name Phlegmariurus squarrosus. RNAcentral describes it as "partial transfer RNA-Leu". Lineage: Eukaryota; Viridiplantae; Streptophyta; Lycopodiopsida; Lycopodiales; Lycopodiaceae. The record is from RNAcentral.
GACUUAAAAUUGGUGGGCUUUAUAGACCGUGAGGGUUCGAGUCCCUCAACCCCCA